Molecule: regulatory RNA element, 68 nt
Organism: Cellulomonas carbonis T26
Lineage: Bacteria; Bacillati; Actinomycetota; Actinomycetes; Micrococcales; Cellulomonadaceae
Rfam family: Actino-pnp RNA
Source: Rfam
CCCGGUCCUCGGUAGUGGCUCGCGGAGCCCGGUUCGCCGGCCUCCGCGGACCUCGAUCGAAGACCGUC